Triticum dicoccoides is the source of this 3290-nucleotide RNA transcript. RefSeq lists it as uncharacterized. The transcript has 4 exons. Lineage: Eukaryota; Viridiplantae; Streptophyta; Magnoliopsida; Poales; Poaceae. The record is from RefSeq and is a predicted model, not a curated record.
UUCCCCAAAUCUUGCAAAACCUAACCCUCCAACCCGACCACGCCGCCGCGUCCAACCAGACCACGCCGCCGCCACCACCUCCACCAGCCACUCCACCUCAGCGUAGGCUUCCGCCCCGAGCACAGUCGCCGCCGACCGCCUAGUCGUCGCCGAGCACCCUCCUACACCGACGAAUCCCUUGGCCGCUUCCUCCCCAUCCCCUGCUGCACCUAGCGCCUGCUUCCUCCCGAGGAAAGUCGCCGAUCGCCCUCCAUCCCCACCACAACAGCCACCUCCUCCGCAGGGCCCCUCUCCCGAGAAGCUCCACCUCCUGUACAUCCUCCCCCAGGUGCAGCGCCGCCUCCUUGCCCACCGAGAGCACUUGGCCGGUGAGAUUUCAUUCUUUGUAAACUUUUGUUCCCUUUUUCUUCUGACCAGUAACUAGAACAACUUCAGAAAGUGUUUUGAGUUUAUAUGACAGUACAUUUGUGAAAAUAACGGCUAGCCCCAAGUUUUUCUUAUGGUGAGGAGAUCUUCCAUUGCAGCAAAUUGUCGCUACAACUGCAUACUAAAUCAGUGAAUCCCAGUAGGAGUACUACAUGCAAGCUCUGGGAAGAUAAGUUUAAAGGCCGUGCUGCAAAUAUAGCUAGAGAACUUCUUUCUGUAUAUUUUGGUGCAAAUGUAGACUGAAAGUGGAGUACCACUUCUAGAGUUAAACAAUUUUAACUAGUGAAUGUGUUAGUUCUAUGACCCCGCAAAAAAGAAUGUGUUAGUUCUAUGAAUAUAGAUAUAUGGGGUUUGAUCUGGAAUUUUCUUCUAUAAUUUUCUAUUUCUAGUUUGCCACUGCUCCCAGUCAUCCGAUUCUGGAAUUUUAUGAUCAAUAGUUGUCUAUCAUAGUAGAAAUCCCUUCAAGUGUUGCAACCUUUAUUAUUGAAUUGAAAAACAUUUGCUUGAUAAUUUAUUUUUUCUAGAGUAAAAUGAUAGCAAUUUGGUUUUGUACUGUCACCACUACUGGAAAUAGCAUGGCAUCAUGACUUAUUAAAUUACAAGAUCCCCUAUUGUUAAAACUUCUUUUAUUUAGCUUAACACUUAAGAACAAAUACAUCCAUAGCUAUGUUCAUAGAGAUGGUACAUAGCUUAAGAUGUGCAUGUGGUUCAGAUUUUGGAAAAGGGUCUACUGGCAGUGCCAUGUACAAGUAAUAUAACCCUAGCAGUACAGUACCUUGUCAUGCAGGGCCACGAGUAAUAUAAGACUGCUGUUUUGUUGCUGAUAAUUAGAACGUUUGGAUGCUUGUUGUUUAGGUUGUGCGUCUAGGUUUGGUAGUAGUGCUGGUGUGUGUGGCUUAGUCUCUGAUGUUUUCAGUAAUGGAAAUUGGGAGCUAUGCUCCUAAGUAGAAAAAUUGGAAGAAUUAGGACAUGAGGCUAGCUGAGUACCAUGCUCUUUUCUCCUAUAUGUAAUUCUUACAAACUGUUCCCUAAUUUUCAUUUGAUGCUUUCACUGAAAUAUUUUUUUGGAUUGUUUGUCUUGUGAGCAGCGUACAUCUUCUUUGUCCUCUCCAAGCAGUGUCAACUACUCCAUACAAGCACAUAAGCUUAUGCUCUUAUGAUUAUAUAUUUACUUUUGGAUACAUGUUUGCUGCUAUUUCAGAACAUUGAAACUUAUUUAGCAUUUCGUUUCUUAUAUGCUUCAUGCAAAUGAAACUGCAGUAAACAUAUGAACUGAGAUUUUGCUUGCCAUCUGUAUACAUGCCCUGAAUUUGAUUAGUCUUUUUAUGCAUACAACUACUGGAAGCUUUUACAUGUCCUGGAACUGAGCUUUUACAUGCCCUGUGUAUUCUGAAGAUUAGUCUUUUGUUAUUGGGCAGUACUUGAAACAGAGUCGUUGGUCUCCUGACAUAUAACCAUUUAUGAAGAGCAUAGGUGAUGCCUUCUCUUGUAUUCCUAUGCAUAGUCCAGUACUUUUUUAUGUGUAAAAAGUGGCUGACCUAGCAUAGUGGCAUUACACUUUUUUGUAUUUUGUACACAUCAGGAACCUUGCUAUAGAUACACACUGAAAGUUGAAAAUGAUGCUAGCAGAAAUUGGUGUUCUGUCAGCUACGCAUCUGUUUUAAAACAUGAUAUGACUACUUGCUUUGGAAUACUUAUCUGAUCCUAUCUCAUGUAUAUUUUAGUUAUUUCUAGACAAAUCUUUAGGAACCAAGUUCAUUUACAACUCAAAGUCUUGUGCAUGGAGGAGAAUUGAGAUACUUGCUCAUUCUGUACUUGUCAAAACGUAUGUGUAGAUAUUCUGCUCAUUCUGGUUGAUGCUACUACUUGAUUAAUGUCUUCUUUACGAGCUUCUACCUUGUGUAAAUAACAUGAUUAUUUGGCAGCCUGGUUUCAUAUCUUUGAAUCUUAUGUGAAUAAACUAUGUCCAAGUGUUUUCUGUUCUUUGCUUAACUAGAUAUCAAAGUAUAAACAACAAGCUCAUGUACAAGAUGGCAAUUAUGGUGGUUAUUUAGUUUAUUUCAUUGAUUCUCGACAUAUUAAUUGAUUCUAGAGUCCUAGCUUUAUGCAAGGAGAUGUAAAAGAAGCAACAAGUAAUUUCCCUUCUCCUUUCUUUUACAAUUGUCAUGAUUUUAUAUGACCUUUUUUAGUUAAAACCUGUUGUCGUUGGUCUGAAUAUUUUGAUCAUUAAAAUUUGUGAUGAAUUCUUAAAUUGAUUAGGAAGACUGGAUGUGUAAAACUUUGUUUAUGUCGCUGGGUGCAGGUCUUUUAUAUCCUUCCAAUACCUUGAACUAACUAUUUUCUCUGCGGUUACAUAUAUGCACAUCUUAUGCUCAUUUGCAGGGCUUCAGCAAAGUUUGGCCGACCUUUUGGUGGCUAAUAUUUAGAAGCUAUAUUUAAUCCAAAGCUUUUCUUUAACAGAGCAAUUCAGCUGGUUCCUGUCAAACUUUUCUAUCAACUAUGUGCCCAUAUCCUCUGGCACGCAAAAUCCCCCCUCAAGAGGCGAGCCAUUAGUGUUUGAUGUUGGCAUCAUCGUUGGAAGAUCUUCUGCACUAUCUACACGAUGUUUCUUCUACAUGAUAGCACUUCACGUCUACAUGAUGUUUCUUCUACAUGAUAGCACUUGAAGACUACAUGACGUUUCUUGUAUUCGCAGCUCAAACCAUUUGUGUAGCUUAGUUUGAACAAAAGGUCUUAUUGUCUUGCAUGUAAACUCUAUUUAGUAAUGUAGCUAGAUGCUACUGAACGCAUGUACAAAUGUCAAAAUACUAAAGUGUUUGUCAUUACGUGUUUGAGAUCUGCUAUUGAAUCUUGAGUGAAUUCCU